RNAcentral lists this unclassified non-coding RNA (562 nucleotides) under Hevea brasiliensis (rubber tree). The record is from RNAcentral. Lineage: Eukaryota; Viridiplantae; Streptophyta; Magnoliopsida; Malpighiales; Euphorbiaceae.
AAGAAAAUAGUGGACCAUAGCAAGUUGAAUGGUUUGUGCUCACGUCUUCAAAUGGAACUAUGUCGCCCUCUUAGAGUGUCAUUGAUGAACCGAGGUCCUGAUGCAGAAUUACUGGUUGCAAACCCUGUAGAGUUAUCCGGCAAGGGUCGACCGAUUGUCUUUUAUGACAUUACACUGGCGCUCAAGAUGCUUAAUAUUGGCAUCUUUUCGGCUGAAGUAGGGAGAUAUCAGAUUGGUGAUCGAGAAUGGGAAAUUUACCGUGUCUUACUAGACGAAGGGAAUGGCUCGGGUCCCUCGAGGAACAAGAUUGUGGAAGCUGUUUGGAAUAUGUUGAUGGGUUGGGAGUAAACAACUAGUGAAUGUACAGUUCCUGUGUUCAUUGCUAAAAGGCCUCAUUUGACUCAAUGUAUAUACAGUGUAUUAAUGUAGAGGUAAAAGAAAAAUUGUGUCUGUCAAGUUUCAAUGCAAGAUUUUGCAAGGCUAAUCUUGUAGAAUCAUGUGAGAAAUGUAACAAGUUAAAAAGACCUUUUUUUUUUUAUAAAGUUUUAGUGUUUGUAGAAGU